GUGUGUGAUGUAGGGAGAGAAGAGGGAUGACACAUCCAUUUCAUGGGGGCUGGGAGGUUUACUAAGUCUCCACAGAGUUUAACCUUGAAAAGUGACUGGAAAUCCAGCCAACACUCUGAGAGUAAAAGAAGACUUAAAACUCCAGGCCGAGGAUGCGGGAAGCUGAAAUUGUUCAGGCGACAGAGAAGGAACCGGUGGAGAGAUCCUGAUGUUGACAUGCAGGGAGUGUUCAACAUUGCCUUUGCAGCAGGGUGCUGGAAGAGAGAGAAAGAAACAGACUGUGGUGGAGAGGUUGGCCUGGGGUAAGAAGGAUUCUCCCGCCUUUGAGUCACUAAGGGGAUCACAGACCUCCGGACAUACUUAAUGCAAGCUCUCAGUCAUUGCUCCAGCACCAUGCCUACCUGCUGCCAUGCUUCCAUCAAGAUGAUCAUGGGGCAGGUGGGCAGAAGUCAACCAGAGGCCCACACAGGUGGCCAGGUGCCACUUUGAGUGAUUAUGUGAAGGGAGAGAUGGGAGAGAAAGAGAAGAAGAGCACUUUGUGCACUGUGAAGAGAGACAGAGCUGGAGAUGCAAGAUAAAGGACGGUGAGAUAUCGCACAAUGUGAGUGACCUGUGCUGCCACUGAAGGCCAUGUGUUUGUCUGUGACCCUACUGCAGCAGGAGUCUGUGUCAAAAUGUCUGUGGCCCAAGUUGCCACCAAUGACCAUUAGGAUGUCCAUUGUCCGGGAUGUCGCCUGGAACCCUGUUGAUGUCUGAAGGCUUAGCUGAGCCUGCUCUGCCCCUCACCUGCUGCUGUAGUCCAAGGGUGGAAGAGCUGGCCUUGAAGGUGUGAGCAUGGAGAGCUGUCCUCCUCCAGCUGUGGUACUCAGGAGAGCUGGCCUCACACCUUGCCUGGACAUUGCAGGAGAGCUGGCCCUGGUGGCUUGGGCAUGGGAGAGCUGGUAGUUGACCAACACAGCUAACAUGCAGGCCCAGCUCCAGGGCACUGACUUGGCCCAUCCCAGCAUCUACCUCAUUUGUGAGCUACUGGAGUAUAUGAACCAAAGCUGCAGGAUCUCCACAACACAGGGAACAACAGGAUAUCCAAGAGGAGUCCUGUUGAGGAUCCAGUAUUUACAGUGUAGCAGAAGCCAGAGGCUUCAAAGCAGACUAGUGACUCACUGCGAUGGACAUUUGCAAGCAAAGCUGUGUGGGCAAACGGGUACACAGUGUGACACACUGUGACACACCACAGCUUCCACAGUGAGAGUUUUAAUUAAAAAAAAUUUUUUUUUGUUUUCUUAUAUGAAGAGGUUGCAAGGGCAGACAUUGAGGAACUGAGAGAUGAGUGGGAUUGGGUUGUAUGAUUUGAAAUUCUUAAAGAAUCAAUAAAAAGUUAAAAAUAAAAAAGACGCUCAUGGAUUCAUUCUCUGAAACUGUGAGCCCCCAAUAAAUUAUUUCUUCCAGAAGUUUCUUUGUACAUAGCAUCUUUUCAUAGUCAUAAAAACGUAACUAAGACAGUGGGUGAGGAAAAGACUGAGUUUGACUUGGAUAUUUCUAGAUCAUAUGGUUGAAUUUUUCUUACGUGUCAGUGCUCCAUGGAAAGGUUGAUGUAGGGAGCUGGGGACAGGGAAGGGGCAAAAGAUUUGCAUUGGGCAGAUUAGAUCUGAGGUGCCUAAGAUGCUGACAAACGGAGAUGUCAGGUAAUAGAGGGAUAUGUAUGGCAGGUUCUUGGGUCCUUCAGAUGUAAAUCUGAAUGUCAUAAAGAAUUGGGAACCUGAAAUCACGUGGGUGGCUUGGAGAAAAUACAUGCUCUAAAAUCUAGGUCUGAAGUCAGUCAUUGAAUGGAGGUCAAGCACUGGAGAAGGAAAUGAUCGUGGAGAUUAACA
This 1868-nucleotide long non-coding RNA is filed under the name Mus musculus (house mouse). RNAcentral's name for it is "expressed sequence AU022793". The record is from RNAcentral. Lineage: Eukaryota; Metazoa; Chordata; Mammalia; Rodentia; Muridae.